GCAUUCAGCUGUAGCACGUUGAAAACACCGAUUCUCCUCCGAUCACCGAAGUUAAGAAACGUUGAGCCCGGUUAGUACUUGCGUGGGUAACCGGUUGGGAAUACCGGGCAUUGAAGAAU
This 119-nucleotide ribosomal RNA is filed under the name Trichobilharzia regenti. The record is from RNAcentral. Lineage: Eukaryota; Metazoa; Platyhelminthes; Trematoda; Strigeidida; Schistosomatidae.